This 1652-nucleotide long non-coding RNA is filed under the name Musa acuminata (dwarf banana). RNAcentral's name for it is "long non-coding RNA (MACU_LNC011252)". The record is from RNAcentral. Lineage: Eukaryota; Viridiplantae; Streptophyta; Magnoliopsida; Zingiberales; Musaceae.
CUUCUUCAAUUCCACAAACUUGAGUGGUGCCACUCUAUAGGGAGUCUUAGAUAUUGGAAGUUGUCCUCGGGGACGAAAUCAUUAGCAAAUUCACUAACUCCAUUUGGAGUUAAUUCGAACAAGUCAUCCAAGAAUACAAUAGGGAACUCUAUUAACACAAUAGUUUCAUUUAAAUUAGUUUCUUGAUCUAAAUACUCCAUUACAAAUGAAAGAUAGCAACAAAAGCCCUUUUGUAUAAGUCGAAGAGCGUGAAGUAGCGAUAUAAGGCAAGGAGGUGAAUCAUACCUAAUACCAUUAAAAUAAAAAGGAAGCCUAAUGCCCGGAAUCAAGCCUAAUGCCCUAAUACCGUUAAGAUGGAUAGAUCACGUUUGUUGUCAAAGAAUCUCCAACAAUCGUAGUUGCAUAUAGCAUAUAAUUCAUUAGUCUAAGUUGAGCACCUAAGUGAUAAGAAAAAUAUUAUAAACCAAAUAUAGAUUGUAACCAGGGUCAAAUAAAUAUAGAUUGUAAUCUAUCCCAAAAUCUCAAUAGGAUAUCCUCGAAAACUCAAAAAUCUGAUUUCAAUCAAUUUUCUACUUCAUUGGUAAAGUAGACUAAACGUGGAUCUUGUAAUUGUCAUUCUUUAAUUUAUCGAAUGAGAUCAGAUAGAACCUGGAUAGAGGCUAUCAAAAUCAUCGAGUCUCGCACUAUCCUCAAAAUGUGCAGGUCAUAAUUUUUUUCCAAUGACCUCCGUUGCUUCACCAUUAGAUUAAUUUAUCGAAUGAGAUCAGAUAGAACCUUUGUCCUCUAAACUUUUCCAAACCUCAAUAGGGAUACCAUCAGGCCCUACACUCUAAGCUAUUCUUAUUUUCUUUAAUGUGUCUUAUACUUCAUUAACUCUAAUUUUAUAAAUAAAUAUAUGAUUAUUAAAUCUACAACUAUUAUUUAUUGUUAAAUCUAAAUCCUGUGUGGAAUAUUAUUUAAAUAAUUUAUAAAAAUAAAUUUUUUUUAUCUCUCCUCAUUCUCGUUAACAUUAACAAGUAUUCUUUGAUCUUCAUUUUUAAUGUGUCUAAUUUUAUCUAAAUCCUUAUACUUUCUUUCCCUAGCUUUAGCAAUUCAACAUAUAUUUUUUUCACUAUCUUUAGUACCUAAUUUAUUAUAAAAAUUUUCAUAAGCUUUAUAUCUUACUAUACUAAUUGCUUGUUUAGCCUCUUUUUUAUAUUCUUUAUAAGUUUUGAAAAUUUUCUUAUUUUUAUAGUUUUGCCAAUCUUUAAACAUUAUCUUUUAGUAAAAAAUAUUUUUUGAACAUCCUCGUUUCACCAACUCUCUUUUAAGGUUACACUGCUAUAUUUAGUUUUACCAAGAAUCUUCUUUGUUAAUCUCCUAAUCUUAUUAGUCAUUAUAGUCAAAAUAAUAUUAAUAUUAUCCUUAUCUAGGUUCUAAGUCAUCUCCUUUCCAUUUUAUUUUUAAAAAUAUUUACAUUAUCAUCUUUAAAAUGCUAUCAUCUAAUCCUAGUAAUUUUUUCUAUUAUAUUUUUCUUGUUUCAUUUUUUGUAGUAAAUUUCCUAAGCUACGAGUUCCUAAUUAAUGACACUCCAACGCUUCGAAUUCCAAGGAUAAGGAGAAAGUUCCAAACUGCCAGCUCUGAUGAAGGACGACCAAGAACGAGCAAGAACC